Gadus morhua (Atlantic cod) is the source of this 971-nucleotide non-coding RNA. Lineage: Eukaryota; Metazoa; Chordata; Actinopteri; Gadiformes; Gadidae. The record is from the annotation of a RefSeq genome assembly.
AUGAUCACUCAUCACAACAGUGUGAGGCCUCACAUCCACCCCUCGAGGUCAGUAUUAUCAAAUAGGUGUUUUACAGGUGUUUAUAGUGAGGAUCUCACUCCUGUCAAGAAGGAAGAGAACAGUUUAGAAGGAACAACAGUUGCUCUUGUUUCUCUGUCCUACACGCUCUCUAAAACUGCUACAGGGAGCGAUUAUUUCUUCUGGUACCGUCAGUAUCCUGGAGAACCUCCACAGUUCCUGCUGUACAUCUCAGGGUUUGGUAACAACAGGACAGCUGAGUCUCUUGGUUCAGACAAAAGGUUUUCCACUGAACUGACUGAAGAGAAGACUGGAGUUGAUCUGAAGAUCUCCUCUGUUGCAGUGACAGACUCUGCUCUGUACUACUGUGCUCUGCAGCCCACAGUGACAGGAAACAUAGGCUCGCUGUACAAAAACCUGCUGAGCACAAAACAAUCUUUCAACUCCCCCUGAGACCCGAUCAAUGACAUUUCUGACACAACACUUCAUCUCAAUAUUUAUUUCCUGAUUAACUAUACAUGUUUACCAUUUUUCAAUUUUAUUAUUUAUUUUUAUAUUUUUUCAGUAAGUUCACUUGUUUAUUCUUUUAAAUGAUUCGGUUUGAAUUGUGUGUUAUAUUUGUAGCUUUUAUCCGCAUGGCUCAUUCAAUUAAAAACCAUCUAGGUUUCCACAGUUACUCUUCUUAAAGUGAACAUGAAGGUGAGUUCUCUUAUCCACCCCUAGAGGUCAGUAUUGUCAAGUAGGUGCUUUACUAUUUCAUCAACAUGGUUGGUCAUUGUAUCUUUAAGAGCUGGUACCAUGAAGAGAAUAAGUCUCAUACUUGAGGUGAACACCAGAUGGUUUCUCCUGUUGCUGUAGACCUGCUGUAGAGAUGGAAACCUGGCUGUUGAUUAUUAUUGCUGCACUUCCAUCUGGGCUGAUAGCUGGGGACUCCAUCUCUCCUGAUUAACAGA